UGGAUACUUAGGUUGAUUCUACAUUUUUGCUAUUGUGAAUAGUGCUGCAGUAAAUAUGGGAGUGCAGAUAUCUCUGGUAUACUGGUUUCCUUUCUUUUGGAUAGAUACCCAGUAGCAGGAUUCCUGGAUCAUAUGGUGGCUCUAUUUUUAGCUUUCUGAGGAACCUCCACACUGUUUUCCAUAGUGGUUAUACUAAUUUAUAUUUUCACCUAUGUGUACAAGCUUGCCCUUUCUUCAUGGCCUCAAGCAUGUUAUUUUCUGUCUUUUUGAUCAUAGCCAUUUUAACUGGAGUGAGAUGAUAUCUCAUUGUGGUUUUGAUCUGCAUUUCCAUGCUAAUUAGUGAUGUUGUGUUCCUUUGAUAUAUCCCCAUCAUUGAGACUUUUCUUUUGAGCACUUGCUUAUUUCCUGGCAUAAUAAGAUGUUCCAGGCUCAUCUUGUAUAUUUUCUGCUCCAGUGCUAGAAUCAGCCAUUUCUCCAAUGAGCUUUUGGGAGAUAUUUGCUUUCUUGAUUACAGUUAGGAUUUUCUCAUAAGGGAAGUUUGUUGAUGGCCUGCAAACAAAUAGUAAAAUAGUAUGUGAUGUCAUGAAAAUUAAUUGUAUUUUUCCUUCUAGAUUUUGCAUAUAGAAGACGGUAAUUUUAAAAACAGUGAAAGAAGAAAUGUAUCUGAGAAUUCAAUCAGUCAAUAGACUUUAGACAUCUGAAAAGAAAACACAAGAGGUUCGGUUGGUGCAAUGUUCCUUUCUUCCCAGGACUUUCUGGUCUUCAAGGCUUUCUCAUGAGACAGAAGACUGAUGGAUGUAGAAGUUUCUAAGAGGACAGUUACGCUGCCAUGUUUUGAAGCAGGAAGACGUUACCACUUCUCAAAGGUCUUUAAUUGCCUGACCACUGCUUCUCUUUGGAAGGCUGUCAGGGUGAUGGAAUCUCAGAUCACAGCACAGAUAAAAUGGACAAAGAAAGAAAGAUACAAGAAGGAUGUAAAAAUGUCCAUAAUGAACUCAUGUAUCUUGCGGAAACCUCUAAUCUAAUGAGAAUGGAUUUUGUUGAGAAGAUUGUACACCAACAAUUAAUUAUUCAUGGCAGAGACAUCAUUAAGAUUUCAUUUUGUUUAAAGGCCUCUAAGUGACUUAGGAAAUUAGGUUAAGCUAGAGAAGAAUUUCAAGAAAGAGACAAGGGAAAGCUUUUCGUUAUAUUGACUUUUUCUAAUAUUUUCCAGAUAGAUAUUUUGACUUGGUACAUAAAUUAUACUCUGACUAAAAAUCUCCAAUGAUUUGUCUGAGUAAGAGUCUUCACAUGGGUGGAUCAUAUACCAGUGUGGUCAGAUGGAAGCAGAUGGACAGAGAUUUGUGAAAGGAUUAGGAGGUUCAUUCCAGAAUUCUAUAAUAAUUCAAUUUGGCUUUUUGGUUAGGAAUGUAGUGAGGAGUCUCCUUGAAAUGACAAUGGGAUUUGUGCAACCUGUGACAUUUUGCACUCAAGGAUCCUUUUCCCAGUGCCCUAUGGGAUGUGAGCACCUGUUCACUUACAGUACAUGUAAGAUAAGACACUUUUAAUAAAAACUCUGGAGACCUGGUGUAGUAUAGGCCCUAUGCCUGCUUAUCUUAAAGACAAACACCAGAAACUGGUGUCACGUUGUGAGUUCAAUGUGAGAUUGAUUCAAAACAUAAAGCUAGAGAUCUAGUGUAAAUUUUCAGAGGGAUAUUGAUUACAGGAUCAAUUUCUAUGGGCAAUUAAUGCAGGGGUUUGGUUUAUGUUUGAAUUCCAAGCACCCAGUGGUAUUCAAAAAUAGCAUCCAAUUUUACAUAAAAUGUAAAAUUACAUUUUGUGUUCGAUUUGGGCACCCUGUCAUGAUUUACAAUAAAGGUUUGGGCUUUUGUUUUCUUGUUCCUUCAUUAGAAAGGUUAGAACUUGCCUUUCCUCCAUGAUCACUAUUCCAGUGUCCCGGGUGCUUGGGAUUCAAAACUAAACUAAAAUUUCUUAGUGGUUGAGAAAUGUUAAGGUUGAAAUAGUAGAUCAGGCCAUGUCUGCAUGGAGAACAUCACAGCAACUGAGAACUGCAAUAGAAGAGGCUUGGUAAAGGGAGAAUCUCUUCCCUGUUUGUGAAUUAAAUAGUCCUGUAACACCUUUAGGGUAAUAAAGAAUUAGGGUUGGCGCCCUGCACCUACACGGCUAGAGUUGGGGAGAAAAUAGACCUCCAGAUGUGGAGCCAGGAAGACCUGGGUUGAGUUUUUAGCUGUGUCCUGGGCCAACAACCACAGCAGCAGCAACACCCACCACAUGCACCGGUCUCCAUCUGCCUCAAAGAACUACACACUGUAGUAGAGGGAAAGAGUCAAUAAUCAAUAAAUGCACCAAAUAAGUAAAUUAUGUAAAUUUAUAUAAAAGAGUCAAUAAAUAGUAAGUGCAAAAAAUAAGUAAAUAAGUACAUCUAUUAUGGUAAAAAGUGAUCAUUGCUAUAGAAAAAAAUAGAGGUGUGCCUAAUAAUUUAUUUAUGAAAAUCUGCUUUAACAUUUUUCGGAAAGCUGUCUCCUGGAAAAACAAGUAGUCUCUUAACUUUAUACAUUUCCAGGACAAAAUAUUAUAACCACUGCUUAACUGAUGGUGAUAUCAAGUCAAAAUGUAUGCAGCUUUUAUACAAUGGCAGCUCUAAUUUCCAGCAGCACAGAAAUUCUCCCAGUGAUUCCCUUAUUUUAAUAUCACAGCUAACCACCUAUUUAUGUGUUUCUUUAUCUCAGCCUCUCUGUACCUCUGUGUUACGUGGAGAGACGAGAUGGCAUGUUGUUUAUGUAGCUUGAUACAUACCAUAGCCAGAAUUCCAGAACACAGUUUACAUACUUUACAGUUAAAUGUUUAGGCCUCAAGAACAGGAAUCAAAUACUUUGCUUUCAACACUGCUUCCUUCAUGAGAAGGAGAAAUCUCAUCCCUGAGGGUGGCUCCAGGGCCCUGGCCCCAGUAAAACACAAGCCCUGGAACAAAGCAGAGGCCUGGGUAGAAGGAAUUGUUUGCUCUGUUAGCUUAGCUUGAGGCCAAAUAGAGGGAAUUUGUUUUCAAGCCAGACAGGUGCACUUGAGGGUACAGAAAGGAGACUGGCAUUUGGGAUUGAGCCUCAGGAUGGGUCCAUCUUGACCUGUUUUUUUUUUUUUUUCAACUGAUUAGUCAAUCAUGGCUUGUUGCUUCUUAAGUCCUAAGAAUUUUAGAAUUCAGGCAGCCAGUAAUGGUUUACAAUAAAGACUUGGCACUUUGGGAGGCCGAGGCAGGUGGAUCACCUGAGGUCAGCAGUUUGAGACUAGCCUGGCCAAGAUGGGGAAACCUCAUCUCUACUAAAAAUAAAAAAAAUUAGCGGGG
RNAcentral lists this long non-coding RNA (3340 nucleotides) under Homo sapiens (human). RNAcentral's name for it is "HSALNT0121119". The record is from RNAcentral. Lineage: Eukaryota; Metazoa; Chordata; Mammalia; Primates; Hominidae.